Coregonus clupeaformis (lake whitefish) is the source of this 448-nucleotide long non-coding RNA. RefSeq lists it as uncharacterized. The transcript is spliced from 3 exons. The record is from RefSeq and is a predicted model, not a curated record. NCBI's taxonomy places the organism in Eukaryota, Metazoa, Chordata, Actinopteri, Salmoniformes, Salmonidae.
GACACCGCGACCAAACUCACAUCAGGAAAAAUCUGAAAGCAGGAAGCCAGCGCUGUCCUACCACAGCGGGACUGACUGGGGAGGUGAAAAGAUGAAGUGCCUGCGGACACUCCAGGACCUGGGUUGCCUACCCCUGCCCUAGAGCCCACUGCAUGCUGUGACAUGGGCCUGGAUGGGGACAUCUUCAAGCUGCCUGACUGAAAACUGUGGCCUUCAAUGGUACCGGAAGCAAGGGCUUUACCUGGGAGUAGAGCAACAGUCUCUCUCUCCAUUCUGUCAACAUGUAUUCUAUGUAAAUUCAUACAAACUGCUAUGGACGCAAUCACUGACUUAUAUUCACUUUGUCUACUUGUCCCAUUCUUCAAUCUUGUCUGGGAUAUAUAUUUUAGUUGACAUGCCUGUGUGAUGUAUCUGAUAUACAUUAAUAAAAAUUUAUUCAGCCUGGAAA